UAACUGAAGAGUUUGAUCAUGGCUCAGAUUGAACGCUGGCGGCAGGCUUAACACAUGCAAGUCGAGCGGAGAGAGGUAGCUUGCUACUGAUCUUAGCGGCGGACGGGUGAGUAAUACUUAGGAAUCUGGCUAUUAGUGGGGGACAACAUUUCGAAAGGGAUGCUAAUACCGCAUACGUCCUACGGGAGAAAGCAGGGGAUCUUCGGACCUUGCGCUAAUAGAUGAGCCUAAGUCGGAUUAGCUAGUUGGUGGGGUAAAGGCCUACCAAGGCGACGAUCUGUAGCGGGUCUGAGAGGAUGAUCCGCCACACUGGGACUGAGACACGGCCCAGACUCCUACGGGAGGCAGCAGUGGGGAAUAUUGGACAAUGGGGGGAACCCUGAUCCAGCCAUGCCGCGUGUGUGAAGAAGGCCUUAUGGUUGUAAAGCACUUUAAGCGAGGAGGAGGGUACUGGUAUUAAUACUACCAGGUACUGGACGUUACUCGCAGAAUAAGCACCGGCUAACUCUGUGCCAGCAGCCGCGGUAAUACAGAGGGUGCGAGCGUUAAUCGGAUUUACUGGGCGUAAAGCGUGCGUAGGCGGCUAAUUGAGUCGGAUGUGAAAUCCCCGAGCUUAACUUGGGAAUUGCAUUCGAUACUGGUUAGCUAGAGUGUGGGAGAGGAUGGUAGAAUUCCAGGUGUAGCGGUGAAAUGCGUAGAGAUCUGGAGGAAUACCGAUGGCGAAGGCAGCCAUCUGGCCUAACACUGACGCUGAGGUACGAAAGCAUGGGGAGCA
RNAcentral lists this ribosomal RNA (775 nucleotides) under Enterobacter cloacae. RNAcentral describes it as "bacterial SSU rRNA". It matches the Rfam family "Bacterial small subunit ribosomal RNA", at positions 1 to 770 of the family's 1533-position model. Lineage: Bacteria; Pseudomonadati; Pseudomonadota; Gammaproteobacteria; Enterobacterales; Enterobacteriaceae. The record is from RNAcentral.